GGAUGCUGCUGGGGCCCAGCAUGGCCACCUGUGCCCCAAAGCCUGCACAUGGGAGGCUGUGUUGGGGCACACCCAGGCCAGCUGCAGAGGACACCCAGGGGCAGACGGGGAAGCUGGGGUAGGAGGUGUGGGAGCUGUGGGCACUGUGCCAGGGCCAGGAGGGGCACAGGCCCGUGGGGCUCUCAUCAAGGGCAGCUGCUGGGUGAGAGGGGAAGGCAGGUCAGCAGGAGGCCACCACAGAGUCCCGUCUGGAGGCCAGCGGAGGGCAGGGGUGGGGGUGUGGGAUGAAGUUGCCUCCAGGGGACAGGCGCCCAAGGGCCAGAGCCAUCACCUUUGGCGACCAAAAGCAACCCUGAGGAGGUGCUGGGGAGCCCUGCGGGGGGCCUCUGUGCUUGCUGGGGAUAAAGAGGGCUCCCAGAAACCACUCCCCACCUUGGCAGAGUGGGGGCUGCAGCUGACCCUGGCAGGCGUGAAGGCCUUGCAGGAAGCCAGGUAGGUGGUGCGUGGGGCCCCCGAAUUCCUGGUGUCCCUGGCGCCUGGCAGGGAGGAGGCAGAGCUUGUGGCAUUACACUGCCCUGAGCUCUUCAGAGACCCCACACUACACGCAGUCUCCCCACAAGCCCCUGGUCUACCACACAGUGAGAACUGCACGGCGGGGCACAGGCCGGAGCCACAGACGCAGGCAAACCGUGUCCCACUGCAGGUGACCUUGCCUCGUCACACGGGGGACUCACCGACCGUCCUCAGGCCCCUGCACCGGCACCAGCGUCCCUGCCCUGCCCUCCACUGCUCACGGGGUUGGCCGGGGGAACGGGGAGGCAGGGCAAGCCCCCAGGAGCCCACUGCCGCAGCCCAGGCCCCGUCUCCAGCCCUGCCAGCCUCCUCCUCCGUGAGCACAGGUGGGCCUGAGGCCUGCCCAAGCCCCUCGGGGUCACAGCUCUCCUCACAGGGUCCUUCCUCAUCUGACGGGGACAAGGUGCCUGGGGCCAAGGGGGAGAGGAAAAGCUGCCCCCAUCCCGACCCCACCGUGUUCCACCUGAUGAGGCUAAGGAGGAGAGGAAAAGCUGCCCCCACCCCGACCCCACUGUGUUCCACCUGAUGAGCAGCGAUGGCACCUGCACCCCAGAGCUGGACGUGCUAGGGGCCAGGACAUCCCAGAGGAAGACGGCGUCCCCUGCGCUGAGGACCUGCUGCUGGUCAGGAGAGAAGGCCACAGCCUGCACGGGUUCCGAGUGGCCGAUGUACA
Molecule: long non-coding RNA, 1246 nt
Filed under: Homo sapiens (human)
Lineage: Eukaryota; Metazoa; Chordata; Mammalia; Primates; Hominidae
Description: HSALNT0383945
Source: RNAcentral